Erinaceus europaeus (western European hedgehog) is the source of this 127-nucleotide small nucleolar RNA. The record is from Ensembl. Lineage: Eukaryota; Metazoa; Chordata; Mammalia; Eulipotyphla; Erinaceidae.
GGGCAAAUGCUACCACCAGUUCUGCAAGGCCUAGUGAAGGGGAGUCAGGACCGCUGGUGUAACUGUGUGGCUAGAAAUAUAUUAGCCUCAGGAGCUGUGAGGUGGCCCAUUCUACCCCAGUGCAGGC